RNAcentral lists this ribosomal RNA (495 nucleotides) under uncultured bacterium. RNAcentral's name for it is "bacterial SSU rRNA". It matches the Rfam family "Bacterial small subunit ribosomal RNA", at positions 15 to 518 of the family's 1533-position model. The record is from RNAcentral.
GAUUCUGGCUCAGGAUGAACGCUGGCGGCGUGCCUAACACAUGCAAGUCGAACGAGCGAGAGAUGAAACCUAGUGAUUCUCGAGCGAGUGGCGGACGGGUGAGUAACGCGUGGGUAACCUGCCCUACAGAGGGGGAUAACAGUUUGAAAAGACUGCUAGUACCGCAUAAGCACACAGUACCGCAUGGUACAGGGUGAAAAAGAUUUAUCACUGUAAGAUGGACCCGCGUCUGAUUAGCCAGUUGGCAGGGUAACGGCCUACCAAAGCGACGAUCAGUAGCCGACCUGAGAGGGUGAUCGGCCACAUUGGGACUGAGACACGGCCCAAACUCCUACGGGAGGCAGCAGUGGGGGAUAUUGCACAAUGGAGGAAACUCUGAUGCAGCGAACCGCCGCGUGAGUGAAGAAGUAUUUCGGUAUGUAAAGCUCUAUCAGCAGGGAAGAUAAUGACAGUACCUGACCAAGAAGCCCCGGCUAACUACGUGCCAGCAGCCGC